This 263-nucleotide ribosomal RNA is filed under the name uncultured bacterium. RNAcentral's name for it is "partial 16S ribosomal RNA". It matches the Rfam family "Bacterial small subunit ribosomal RNA", at positions 355 to 635 of the family's 1533-position model. The record is from RNAcentral.
UGGGGAAUAUUGGACAAUGGGGGCAACCCUGAUCCAGCAAUGCCGCGUGUGUGAAGAAGGUCUUCGGAUUGUAAAGCACUUUCGACGGGGACGAUGAUGACGGUACCCGUAGAAGAAGCCCCGGCUAACUUCGUGCCAGCAGCCGCGGUAAUACGAAGGGGGCUAGCGUUGCUCGGAAUGACUGGGCGUAAAGGGCGUGUAGGCGGUUUACACAGUCAGAUGUGAAAUCCCCGGGCUUAACCUGGGAGCUGCAUUUGAUACGU